GACGGAGGGGGCUAGCGUUGUUCGGAAUGACUGGGCGUAAAGGGCGUGUAGGCGGUUGAUCAAGUCAGACGUGAAAGCCUUGGGCUUAACCCAAGAACUGCGUUUGAGACUGGUUGACUUGAGGACGAGAGAGGAAAGUAGAAUUCCGAGUGUAGAGGUGAAAUUCGCAGAUAUUCGGAGGAAUACCAGAGGCGAAGGCGUCUUUCUGGCUCGUUUCUGACGCUCAUGCACGAAAGCGUGGGGAGCAAACAGG
Molecule: ribosomal RNA, 253 nt
Filed under: uncultured bacterium
Lineage: Bacteria
Description: partial 16S ribosomal RNA
Rfam family: Bacterial small subunit ribosomal RNA
Source: RNAcentral